This 402-nucleotide ribosomal RNA is filed under the name bacterium. RNAcentral's name for it is "partial 16S ribosomal RNA". It matches the Rfam family "Bacterial small subunit ribosomal RNA", at positions 355 to 776 of the family's 1533-position model. The record is from RNAcentral.
UGGGGAAUUUUGCACAAUGGGGGAAACCCUGAUGCAGCGACGCCGCGUGAUUUAGAAGGCCUUCGGGUUGUAAAAAUCUUUUCUAUGGGAAGAAAAUGACAGUACCAUAGGAAUAAGGACCGGCUAAUUACGUGCCAGCAGCCGCGGUAAUACGUAAGGUCCGAGCGUUGUCCGGAAUCAUUGGGCGUAAAGGGUACGUAGGCGGGUAAGCAAGUUAGAAGUGAAAUCCUAUAGCUCAACUAUAGUAAGCUUUUAAAACUGCUCAUCUUGAGGUAUGGAAGGGAAAGGGGAAUUCCUAGUGUAGCGGUGAAAUGCGCAGAUAUUAGGAGGAAUACCGGUGGCGAAGGCGACUUUCUGGCCAUAACCUGACGCUGAGGUACGAAAGCGUGGGUAGCAAACAGG